Molecule: transfer RNA, 82 nt
Filed under: Kryptoperidinium foliaceum
Lineage: Eukaryota; Dinophyceae; Peridiniales; Kryptoperidiniaceae
Also listed under: 1 other name
Description: tRNA-Leu
Rfam family: tRNA
About the family: Transfer RNA (tRNA) molecules are approximately 80 nucleotides in length. Their secondary structure includes four short double-helical elements and three loops (D, anti-codon, and T loops). Further hydrogen bonds mediate the characteristic L-shaped molecular structure. tRNAs have two regions of fundamental functional importance: the anti-codon, which is responsible for specific mRNA codon recognition, and the 3' end, to which the tRNAs corresponding amino acid is attached (by aminoacyl-tRNA synthetases). tRNAs cope with the degeneracy of the genetic code in two manners: having more than one tRNA (with a specific anti-codon) for a particular amino acid; and 'wobble' base-pairing, i.e. permitting non-standard base-pairing at the 3rd anti-codon position.
Source: RNAcentral
GCAGGUGUGGCGGAAUUGGUAGACGCGCUGGGUUUAGGUUCCAGUAACUUUGGUUAUGAGAGUUCGAGUCUCUCCACCUGUA